Molecule: transfer RNA, 76 nt
Filed under: Mycoplasma sp. CSL10166
Lineage: Bacteria; Bacillati; Mycoplasmatota; Mollicutes; Mycoplasmatales; Mycoplasmataceae
Description: tRNA-Thr
Rfam family: tRNA
About the family: Transfer RNA (tRNA) molecules are approximately 80 nucleotides in length. Their secondary structure includes four short double-helical elements and three loops (D, anti-codon, and T loops).
Source: RNAcentral
GCCGUCGUAGCUCAGCAGGUAGAGCACUUCCAUGGUAAGGAAGGGGUCGCUGGUUCGAGUCCAGUUGUCGGCACCA